Molecule: ribosomal RNA, 400 nt
Filed under: phytoplankton environmental sample
Lineage: Eukaryota
Description: partial small subunit ribosomal RNA
Rfam family: Eukaryotic small subunit ribosomal RNA
Source: RNAcentral
AGCUCCAGUAGCGUAUAUUAAUGUUGUUGCAGUUAAAAAGCUCGUAGUUGGAUUUCUGAUAUGACGAGCCUGGCCCGCUUUACGUUCACGUGAGUGAGUGCCGGCGCUUGUCUGUCAUCCAUCUAGAGAACGGUUCUACCCUUCACUGGGUCGGUUCCGCAAUCUAGAUCUUUUACUUUGAAAAAAUUAGAGUGUUCAAAGCAGGCUUGCGCUGUGAAUACAUUAGCAUGGAAUAAUAAUCUAGGACUUUGUUCCUAUUUUGUUGGUUUCUAGGAGUAAAGUAAUGAUUGAUAGGGAUAGUUGGGGGUGCUAGUAUUCAGUGGCCAGAGGUGAAAUUCUUGGAUUCACUGAAGACUAACUUAUGCGAAAGCAUUCACCAAGGAUGUCUUCUUUAAUCAAG